CCUACGGGUGGCAGCAGUGGGGGAUAUUGCACAAUGGGGGGAACCCUGAUGCAGCGACGCCGCGUGGGUGAAGAAGGGCCUCGGCGCGUAAAGCCCUGUCAGCAGGGAAGAAAAUGACGGUACCUGAAGAAGAAGCCCCGGCUAACGACGUGCCAGCAGCCGCGGUAAUACGUAGGGGGCAAGCGUUCUCCGGAUUUACUGGGUGUAAAGGGGGCGGAGACGGCGAGGCAAGCCAGGAGUGAAAGCCCGGGGCCCAACCCCGGGACUGCUCUUGGAACUGCGUGGCUGGAGUGCAGGAGGGGCAGGCGGCAUUCCUGUUGUCGCGGUUCACUGCGUAGAUAUCCGGCGGCACCCCGGUGGC
This 361-nucleotide ribosomal RNA is filed under the name uncultured bacterium. Its description in RNAcentral is "partial 16S ribosomal RNA". It matches the Rfam family "Bacterial small subunit ribosomal RNA", at positions 338 to 716 of the family's 1533-position model. The record is from RNAcentral.